RNAcentral lists this ribosomal RNA (497 nucleotides) under uncultured bacterium. Its description in RNAcentral is "partial 16S ribosomal RNA". It matches the Rfam family "Bacterial small subunit ribosomal RNA", at positions 28 to 507 of the family's 1533-position model. The record is from RNAcentral.
GAUGAACGCUGGCGGCGUGCCUAAUACAUGCAAGUCGAGCGAACAGACGAGGAGCUUGCUCCUCUGACGUUAGCGGCGGACGGGUGAGUAACACGUGGAUAACCUACCUAUAAGACUGGGAUAACUUCGGGAAACCGGAGCUAAUACCGGAUAAUAUAUUGAACCGCAUGGUUCAAUAGUGAAAGACGGUUUUGCUGUCACUUAUAGAUGGAUCCGCGCGGCAUUAGCUAGUUGGUAAGGUAACGGCUUACCAAGGCAACGAUGCGUAGCCGACCUGAGAGGGUAAUCGGCAACACUGGAACGGAGACACGGUCCAGACUCCUACGGGAGGCAGCGGUAGGGAAUCUUCCGCAAUGGGCGAAAGCCUGACGGAGCAACGCCGCGGGAGUGAUGAAGGUCUUCGGAUCGUAAAACUCGGUUAUUAGGGAAGAACAAAUGUGUAAGUAACUAUGCACGUCUUGACGGUACCUAAUCAGAAAGCCACGGCUAACUACGUG